GAUGAACGCUGGCGGCGCGCCUAACACAUGCAAGUCGAACGGAGUCAAGAGGAGCUUGCUUUUCUUGACUUAGUGGCGAACGGGUGAGUAACGCGUGAGUAACCUGCCCUGGAGUGGGGGACAACAGUUGGAAACGACUGCUAAUACCGCAUAAGCCCACGGAUCCGCAUGGAUCUGCGGGAAAAGGAUUUAUUCGCUUCAGGAUGGACUCGCGUCCAAUUAGCUAGUUGGUGAGGUAACGGCCCACCAAGGCGACGAUUGGUAGCCGGACUGAGAGGUUGAACGGCCACAUUGGGACUGAGACACGGCCCAGACUCCUACGGGAGGCAGCAGUGGGGGAUAUUGCACAAUGGGGGAAACCCUGAUGCAGCGACGCCGCGUGGAGGAAGAAGGUUUUCGGAUUGUAAACUCCUGUCGUUAGGGACGAUAAUGACGGUACCUAACAAGAAAGCACCGGCUAACUACGUGCCAGCAGCCGCGGUAAAACGUAGGGUGCAAGCGUUGUCCGGAAUUACUGGGUGUAAAGGGAGCGCAGGCGGACCGGCAAGUUGGAAGUGAAAACUAUGGGCUCAACCCAUAAAUUGCUUUCAAAACUGCUGGCCUUGAGUAGUGCAGAGGUAGGUGGAAUUCCCGGUGUAGCGGUGGAAUGCGUAGAUAUCGGGAGGAACACCAGUGGCGAAGGCGACCUACUGGGCACCAACUGACGCUGAGGCUCGAAAGCAUGGGUAGCAAACAGGAUUAGAUACCCUGGUAGUCCAUGCCGUAAAACGAAUGAUUAUUAGGUGUUGGAGGAUUGACCCCUUCAGUGCCGCAGUUAACACAAUAAGUAAUCCACCUGGGGAGUACGACCGCAAGGUUGAAACUCAAAGGAAUUGACGGGGGCCCGCACAAGCAGUGGAGUAUGUGGUUUAAUUCGAAGCAACGCGAAGAACCUUACCAGGUCUUGACAUCCGAUGCAUAGUGCAGAGAUGCAUGAAGUCCUUCGGGACAUCGAGACAGGUGGUGCAUGGUUGUCGUCAGCUCGUGUCGUGAGAUGUUGGGUUAAGUCCCGCAACGAGCGCAACCCUUAUUGCCAGUUACUACGCAAGAGGACUCUGGCGAGACUGCCGUUGACAAAACGGAGGAAGGUGGGGAUGACGUCAAAUCAUCACGCCCUUUAUGACCUGGGCUACACACGUACUACAAUGGCGUUUAACAAAGAGAAGCAAGACCGCGAGGUGGAGCAAAACUCAAAAACAACGUCUCAGUUCAGAUUGCAGGCUGCAACUCGCCUGCAUGAAGUCGGAAUUGCUAGUAAUCGCGGAUCAGCAUGCCGCGGUGAAUACGUUCCCGGGCCUUGCAC
This 1342-nucleotide ribosomal RNA is filed under the name uncultured bacterium. Its description in RNAcentral is "16S ribosomal RNA". It matches the Rfam family "Bacterial small subunit ribosomal RNA", at positions 28 to 1386 of the family's 1533-position model. The record is from RNAcentral.